CACUUCUAAGGAAGGCAGCAGGCGCGCAAAUUACCCAAUCCUGACUCAGGGAGGUAGUGACAAGAAAUAACAAUACAGGGCACAUACGUCUUGUAAUUGGAAUGAGAAGAACUCAAACCGCUUUCCGAGUAUCAAUUGGAGGGCAAGUCUGGUGCCAGCAGCCGCGGUAAUUCCAGCUCCAAUAGCGUAUACUAAAGUUGUUGCAGUUAAAAAGCUCGUAGUUGGAUUUCUGUGGGGACGGAGCGGCCGGCCGCAACACGCGGUUCGAGCUAGCGCUUUCCCUACAUCCUGCCGCGAACCGUGCUACCAUUAAUUUGGUGGCGCCGGGGAUCGGCUCGAUUACUUUGAGAAAAAUAGAGUGUUCAAAGCAGGCCACAUGCCUUGAAUAAGUUAGCAUGGAAUAAUAACUAAGGACUUCGGUUCUAUUUUGUUGGUGUUCGGGACUGAAGUAAUGAUUGAUAGGGACAGUUGGGGCGGUCUGUAUUCCAAAGCGAGAGGUGAAAUUCUUAGACCUUCGGAAGACAAACAGCCGCGAAAGCGUUCCGCAAGGAUGUUCCCUUUGAUCAAGAACGAAAGUUGGGGGAUCGAAGACGAUCAGAUACCGUCGUAGUCUCAACUAUAAACUAUACCAGCUAGGGAUCGGCCAACGUUAUUUCAUACCGACUUGGUCGGCACCUUAUGAGAAAUCAAAGCAUCUGGGUUCCGGGGGGAGUAUGGUCGCAAGGCUGAAACUUAAAGGAAUUGACGGAAGGGCACCACCAGCCGUGGAGCCUGUGGCUUAAUUUGACUCAACACGGGAAAACUUACCAGGUCCAGACAUAGUAAGGAUUGACAGAUUGAUAGCUCUUUCUUGAUUCUGUGGGUGGUGGUGCAUGGCCGUUCUUAGUUGGUGGAGUGAUUUGUCUGGUUAAUUCCGUUAACGAACGAGACCCCAGCCUGCUAAAUAGCGCGCGUGAGCUUUGCUCGCGGCGAGCUUCUUAGAGGGACUCUGAUGCGCGAUAGCACAUGGAAGUUUGGGGCAAUAACAGGUCUGUGAUGCCCUUAGAUGUUCUGGGCCGCACACGGGCUACACUGGCGCCUGCAACGAGCAUAUCAGCUGGCCCGAGAGGGUCUUGGCUAAUCUUUUGAACCGGCGCCGUGCUUGGGAUUGACCUUUGCAAUUGUUGGUCAUGCAACGAGGAAUGCCUUGUAAACGCGAGUCAUCAGCUCGCAUUGAAUACGUCCCUGCCCUUUGUACACACCGCCCGUCGCUCCUACCGAUGAAUGUUCCGAUGAAAUUUUCGGAGAGCACCUGUGAACUUGGCUCCGCCUUGCGAACGGGAGGCUCAAAGUCACUUAAAUCUGAACAUUUCG
This 1353-nucleotide ribosomal RNA is filed under the name uncultured marine eukaryote. RNAcentral describes it as "SSU rRNA". It matches the Rfam family "Eukaryotic small subunit ribosomal RNA", at positions 411 to 1776 of the family's 1831-position model. The record is from RNAcentral.